GGAAUCAACGCUGGCGGCGUGCCUAACACAUGCAAGUCGCACGAGAAAGGGUAGCAAUACCUGAGUACAGUGGCGCACGGGUGAGUAACACGUGAAUAAUCUACCUCCGAGUGGGGAAUAACUGAGAGAAAUCUUAGCUAAUACCGCAUAACACUUACGAGUCAAAGCAGCAAUGCGCUUGGAGAGGAGUUCGCGGCCGAUUAGUUAGUUGGCGGGGUAAUGGCCCACCAAGACGAUGAUCGGUA
Molecule: ribosomal RNA, 245 nt
Filed under: uncultured bacterium
Lineage: Bacteria
Description: partial small subunit ribosomal RNA
Rfam family: Bacterial small subunit ribosomal RNA
Source: RNAcentral